CUCCCUUGUGUUUCUUCUAAGGUUGGUAGAUUAGAUGAGUACAGAACCACACCUGGUUUAUUUACAUUCCUAAUCUUACCUUUAGAUUACUUUCUUUUUGAAAUACACUGAUUAGAAUCUAGAGUAAACAGCUAAAGAACUUUGCAGGAAAAUGCACAACCAUACAAGACUAUCACACAAUUUCAAAAAGUUCACUAAAUCUUCUUGAGCUCACAGUUCAACUAGAUAGAUUAUCAGACUAUUAGUUUAGGAAAAUGUUUCUUAAACUAUAAUAUGCAUGAUUCAGAAGCUUCAUUGGUGGGUGGGUUUUGUCUUUUUAGUUUUUAUCUGUGCACACAAACUUGUGCGUGACGUCUGUGUGUGAUAGGACAACUUGGAAAAGCUGUUUCUCCCUUCCAUGAUGUGGAUUCAGGAAACUGAGCUCAAGUUACCAGGUUUGCUGUUCUAUCAUUACACUCGACUAGACUUGUAUGCCUGCAGAAUUCAUGGGAGCACAAGGGUGGAGGCUCUGCCAACUGGAUCUAGCAAGAAUGACUUUGGCAAUACGAAGCACCAUUAAAGAACAAUCAAUGUAAUUAGCCUUAGGCAGCAUCAUCUGACUCAAGGAAGAUUUAUCAUCAUGUUAUUGACUCUUCUCCAGUCUACACUGAUGAUGGCAUCUAAGGAUUCUACCAAUAAUGAAUUUAUUUAAAUUCUCAGUGGAUGCUGAAAAAUAGCAAUACUGAUCAUCACUAAUGCUAUUAUAGAAAGUUUCCUGAAAGAUCAGCAUAAUGGACAAAUUUAAAAUCCAUUCAGCAAACCUUGGUCAGUAAAUAAAAAGUGUCUAAAGGGUAA
Myodes glareolus (Bank vole) is the source of this 834-nucleotide non-coding RNA. The record is from RefSeq and is a predicted model, not a curated record. NCBI's taxonomy places the organism in Eukaryota, Metazoa, Chordata, Mammalia, Rodentia, Cricetidae.